GGUGGACCCAAUGUAAUCACAAAUAUUCUUAAGUGUGGAGGAGGGAGGCAGAGUCAGAGAAGGACUGGUGACAAUGGAAAUAGAGGUUGGAAACAGUGAUGUACCUUAUAGAUGGAGGAAGGGGCCACGAGCCACGGAAGGCAGGAAGCCUCUAGAAGCUGGCAAAGGCAAAGAAAUGGGUCCUUCCCUGGAGCCUCCAGAAGGAAUGCAGCCCAGCUAAACCUUGAUUUUUAGCCCACUGAGACCCAUUUUGAACUUCUGAAUCCCUGAACUGCAGACCUCGUUUCAUUGACCUUCGCAGACACUGCGUUUUGUACAAGAUCCUCCACCAGUAAAAAAAAAGUACGACUCACUGAAGCCUCAGAGGAUGGGUAGCAUUUUUUUAGCAAUAAAAUAUUUUUUGAAUUAAAGUAUGCACAUUUUUUUAGACAGAAUGCUACUGUACACUUAAUCGACCACAGUAUAGUGUAAACAGAACUUUUUUUUUUUCUGAGGAAGAUUCACCCUGAGCUAACAUCUGUGCCAAUCAUCCCCUAUUUUUUAGUAUGUGGGCUGCGAGCACAGCAUGGCUGCUAACAGAGUGUUGUAGGUCCAUGCCUGGGAACCGAACCUGGGCCGCCGAAGUAGAGUGUGCUGAACUUAACCACUAAGGCACCAGGGCUGGCCAAACAUAACUUUUAUAUGCACUGGGAAAACAAAACAUUUGUGUGACUUGCUUUAUUGUGGUAUUUGCUUUAUUGUGGUGGUCUGGAACUGAAUUCUCAGCAUCUCCAAGGUAUGCCUGUAUACUUAUUUUGCUAUUUUCCCCCUAAAUGCUCCAAGAGAUAUGUCAAGUUCCUUGCAAUAACUUUUCCCGAUUCUCAACCACAUGCAGUCACCCACUAUCGAUUCCAUAUCUCCUCGGGCGAUUUCCCUUGGGGAGCUGGUGGCCUCCUACUCCGAUCUGGACAUCCACUUUCUCACACAUCCACUCUCUAUGCCUCUACACAGGCAUCAUCUAUCCCACACUUUCCUGUGGCUUUCGUCUGAGUUGGAGCCCCUGUUUCCUGGAUUCCAGGUUUCCUUCCAGCUUGUACUCCCUAAAAUUUUGGAGAUAGCUUCACGUGAAUGGGGACAUGGGAGCUAAAUAAUUUGUCCUU
This 1139-nucleotide long non-coding RNA is filed under the name Equus asinus (donkey). Its description in RNAcentral is "lncRNA (ENSEASG00005029188.1)". The record is from RNAcentral. Lineage: Eukaryota; Metazoa; Chordata; Mammalia; Perissodactyla; Equidae.